RNAcentral lists this ribosomal RNA (495 nucleotides) under uncultured bacterium. RNAcentral describes it as "partial 16S ribosomal RNA". It matches the Rfam family "Bacterial small subunit ribosomal RNA", at positions 28 to 507 of the family's 1533-position model. The record is from RNAcentral.
GACGAACGCUGGCGGCGUGCCUAAUACAUGCAAGUAGAACGCUGAAGGAGGAGCUUGCUCUUCUGGAUGAGUUGCGAACGGGUGAGUAACGCGUAGGUAACCUGCCUGGUAGCGGGGGAUAACUAUUGGAAACGAUAGCUAAUACCGCAUAAGAGUAGAUGUUGCAUGACAUUUGCUUAAAAGGUGCAAUUGCAUCACUACCAGAUGGACCUGCGUUGUAUUAGCUAGUUGGUGGGGUAACGGCUCACCAAGGCGACGAUACAUAGCCGACCUGAGAGGGGGAUCGGCCACACUGGGACUGAGACACGGCCCAGACUCCUACGGGAGGCAGCAGUAGGGAAUCUUCGGCAAUGGACGGAAGUCUGACCGAGCAACGCCGCGUGAGUGAAGAAGGUUUUCGGAUCGUAAAGCUCUGUUGUAAGAGAAGAACGAGUGUGAGAGUGGAAAGUUCACACUGUGACGGUAUCUUACCAGAAAGGGACGGCUAACUACGUG